GGCUCGUUAGUCUAGGGGUCUAGGACGUCUCCCUUUCACGGAGAAGAUCAGGGGUUCAAAUCCCCUACGGGCUA
RNAcentral lists this transfer RNA (74 nucleotides) under Armatimonadota bacterium. RNAcentral's name for it is "Armatimonadetes bacterium (glacier metagenome) tRNA-Glu". It matches the Rfam family "tRNA". From Rfam's summary of the family: Transfer RNA (tRNA) molecules are approximately 80 nucleotides in length. The record is from RNAcentral. Lineage: Bacteria; Bacillati; Armatimonadota.